RNAcentral lists this ribosomal RNA (867 nucleotides) under uncultured archaeon. RNAcentral describes it as "bacterial SSU rRNA". It matches the Rfam family "Archaeal small subunit ribosomal RNA", at positions 27 to 900 of the family's 1478-position model. The record is from RNAcentral.
CUGCUAUCGGAUUGAUACUAAGCCAUGCGAGUCAUUGUAGCAAUACAAGGCAUACGGCUCAGUAACGCGUAGUCAACCUAACCUAUGGACGGGAAUAACCUCGGGAAACUGAGAAUAAUGCCCGAUAGAACAUUAUGCCUGGAAUGGUUUAUGUUCCAAAUGAUUUAUCGCCGUAGGAUGGGACUGCGGCCUAUCAGUUUGUUGGUGAGGUAAUGGCCCACCAAGACUAUUACAGGUACGGGCUCUGAGAGGAGUAGCCCGGAGAUGGGUACUGAGACACGGACCCAGGCCCUAUGGGGCGCAGCAGGCGAGAAAACUUUGCAAUGUGCGAAAGCACGACAAGGUUAAUCCGAGUGGUUUCUGCUAAAGGAACCUUUUGUCAGUCCUAGAAACACUGAUGAAUAAGGGGUGGGCAAGUUCUGGUGUCAGCCGCCGCGGUAAAACCAGCACCUCAAGUGGUCAGGAUGAUUAUUGGGCCUAAAGCAUCCGUAGCCGGCUCUGUAAGUUUUCGGUUAAAUCUGUACGCUCAACGUACAGGCUGCCGGGAAUACUGCAGAGCUAGGGAGUGGGAGAGGUAGACGGUACUCGGUAGGAAGGGGUAAAAUCCUUUGAUCUAUUGAUGACCACCUGUGGCGAAGGCGGUCUACCAGAACACGUCCGACGGUGAGGGAUGAAAGCUGGGGGAGCAAACCGGAUUAGAUACCCGGGUAGUCCCAGCUGUAAACCAUGCAAACUCAGUGAUGCAUUGGCUUGUGGCCAAUGCAGUGCUGCAGGGAAGCCGUUAAGUUUGCCGCCUGGGAAGUACGUACGCAAGUAUGAAACUUAAAGGAAUUGGCGGGGGAGCACCACAAGGGGUGAAGCCUGCGG